This is a small nucleolar RNA of Drosophila melanogaster (fruit fly), 141 nucleotides long. NCBI's taxonomy places the organism in Eukaryota, Metazoa, Arthropoda, Insecta, Diptera, Drosophilidae. The record is from Ensembl.
GUGUGCCUAUGCGCGAACAUUGUUUCUCAAAAGUAUUUAAACUAUCCAAAUAAAGUGGUAACUCAAUGAAAUGCACAUAGUUAGACAGUUUUCAAUGGAUUUCGACUCGGAAUCCGUGCAGAAUUUUUGUUGUUUACAGGA